UAAAGACUUUAAAGACUUUUUGCCUAUAAACCGUACACGACCAGGCCUAAAUCGGAAAGCCCAAAACCAAACUCCGUACUUCCCAAUUUGUUUCGAAGUACAAUUGCACAAUUCAACUGUUAAUAAUGGGGACUGCCAGUUUACCAUUAUCCCAGUUCAAACACGUCGCCUCCCGCCUUCUUGGUGAUCUCCGCCAGUUCUCGUCUUCCGUCGCUCUGAUCCGAAGAGCCUGGACUCUCUUCCCGGAGGAGCCCGAACCCGUAGAACCGGACGCCAGAAGCUUCUUUACGGGCUCGCCCUAAAGUACCAGCGACCCGUAGAUGAAAUCUUGAUCAACUCUGUAAGCUUAAUUGGUACUGUAGACUGCCCUUUUGAAAAAAUUCAAUACUACCAAAAUUUUGGUGUCCAUACUAUUCUCAUUGUCAAAGCUUCCUCUAGCUCGUACCGCUACUUGAAAGUAAGGACUCCAUUAAUAUUUGUCUCUGAUUAUAGUUUAGUUUUUAUUUUUUCAAUUUUUUGUUUUCCCUGAAUGCGUGCGCGAGCGUGCGCGAGCUUUGUAGCGAUUUUAGGCUAGCGAUGGACGUAUUUAUACAAAUACUGUACAGCUACAGCUGAAAAUGUGGGAUGAAAUUGCGGAAAUAUUGGUCCAGCAUCUGAAGCCGAAAGAUUUAAUUUUUGUUUCAGGUUUGAAAUGCUAUUUUUUUAACACUUGUCAAGUGACUGGCAUAGCUUUUUCUUUGUGCAAUAUAUAUCUAUUGGAAUUUAGAACCUUACAAUCUUGGGACCUAGUUGUUUAAUUAUAUUUUUAUUCUUG
RNAcentral lists this long non-coding RNA (814 nucleotides) under Olea europaea subsp. europaea. Lineage: Eukaryota; Viridiplantae; Streptophyta; Magnoliopsida; Lamiales; Oleaceae. The record is from RNAcentral.